AACAGGGAGUCCGCCGACCACCCUUUAAGAAACACUGAUCUAAACUAAGCCAACCUGCAAAAAGAAGAAGAAACGAGAGCAAAAUAGGGAGUCUUUACAGAGCCUCUCCCCCUACUACUACUUGUACCAAUAGAGCUCGUCUGUGUUUCCAGCGACGUAAGAAGAUUUGACAGAUGUUAUCCGAUUAAUGAGAUGUGGGAGUGAGAUCCCCAAUUUCAGAGGUUGGCUGCAGGAAGCUCAGAGGGAGAAGACAUGUUGACUCCCGUCCAAUGAGCCUAUUUUAAUUAUUUAGGGAUGAUGACUAAGAUAAGAUGAAUUUGUUAUGGUACAUACCCUGAUUGGAACAUGAAGGGUAUCUAUUAAAUAGUAUACAUAUGUCAGUGUUGUUCUUUUGUAGAUACAGUAUUGUGCAUUAUACUCUCAUGAGUAUAAUUUUUAGGGUAAAUUUAUUUAUUGAGAUAUUUAUUUAUACUUUAACUGUUUGUAUUUCAUUAUGGCAAGAGAUGUUGAAAUCAGUUUUAUAAAACAUGUGGUAUUAUUGUCUGUGUACAAUGUGCACAUGCUUACUGUUCAUUAAUUGAUUUUUUAUCAUAAAAUGGAAGGAGUUGAGACAGUUUAUAUAAAGAAGGAGACAGAGGAGGAGGAGGAGGAGGAAGAGGAAGGCUUUAAUGAACCUGAUGUGGCUACAGAGGAGCUGUUAAUUAAGCCAGUGGUGUUGUUCAGUACUGAAAAGUUCAUGUGUGAGGUUUGUGGAAAAGGAUUUCCGUAUAAAUCUGGUCUGCAUCACCACAUGGCUGUGCAUACGUGUGAGAAAACUCACAUAUGUGAAGAGUGUGGCAAAGCAUUUUCAAAGAAGUCCAAUCUUAUCCAGCACAUGGCCAUUCACACUGGGGAGAAGAAUUACAGUUGUACUAUCUGCGCUAAACCCUUCUCUCAGAAGUCUCACUUAGUGAGACAUGAUUGUGCAUACAAGAGAGAGGUUUGAGUGUGAGCUUUGUGGACGAGGAUUUUCCCUCAAGUCAAGUUUAGUUAGGCAUAAGGUCAUACAUAGUGGCCAGAAAAACUUCAGCUGUAUUGUUUGUGGUAAAGAAUUCUAUCAAAAACCACAUUUGAGCAGGCAUAUGGUGAUUCAUACAGGAGAGAAAAAUUACAAGUGUGAAUUGUGUGGUAAGCAGUUUUCUCAGAAAUCACAUUUGACAGAACAUAAUGUUGUACAUACCAAAGAAAAGAAUUAUGUCUGCCCUGUUUGUGGUAGGCAGUUUGGCCAUAGAGGAGAAGUAACAAGACACUUGGGCAUUCACUCACGGGACCGGCAUUCGUUUACUUGUAAUCAGUGUGGAAAAGUGUUUAAAUGUAAGUCUAGCUUGGCCAAACACAUAGAGCAUCAUCAAAUUAGUGAGCUAGAGGAGAAUGAUGAAAGGGAAUAUGAUUCAGAUAGUAUCCAUUCUUCAUCUAAAGAAGGUUUUAUGUCAUUGCUUAAAGAUGAGAGUCAGGGUGAAUCUUUGUUAUCAAGGAAAAAUGACUUUAAAAAUUUUCCGUGUGUGCUUAAAUCAAGUCCACCUAGAAGUGAAGCCCUUAAUCUUGUAAAAAGAGAAGCAGAUAUGGAUUGUUCUUGAGGAAAAAUAAACGAAUGUGCAGUUUGACUGCUUGUUAUAAAUAAUUUUGAGAUCGUCGAGUGAAAUUUCUGGACUGGCAAGGGGUGAUUGUAAGAUUUUCUUAUAAAAUCUGAGUGAAGUACGUAAAGUAAAGAAAUGAACAGCCAAGUAGGAAGAGGCUGAAGGUAAUGGAUGAAAGUAAAAGAACCUUCAGUGCCAUAUACACUGUCAUGCAAGGCAUCAUUUAGUGGUAUGCCCCUACUGGGUUAUUUCUCGACUGCUCACCAUUAAUCCCAUUGAACUUUUGUCAGUAGAUUUGAUGUCAGCAAUGCAUUUUUCUCUCUAAUAAAGAUUUGUGUAUUAUCAAAGUGAUUUUGAUGUGGUUUGUGUUGUGUUGAUUAAUAUGCAGUAGUAGCACAGUACCAUA
Long non-coding RNA from Macrobrachium nipponense, 2022 nucleotides. RefSeq lists it as uncharacterized. The record is from RefSeq and is a predicted model, not a curated record. The transcript is spliced from 2 exons. Lineage: Eukaryota; Metazoa; Arthropoda; Malacostraca; Decapoda; Palaemonidae.